GACCUCAUAGAUGAAUAGAAUGAGCAAAAGUUGCAGCACAGUGUGUCACCAGAGAGGAACAGAAUAUCCUUGCUGUGCCAAGAAAGAAAAGACCAUGGAUCUACUAGUUGCAGAUUUCAGCAGUAAUGCCAAGGGGGCAAGAAGUGACCAGCAGAACAAUUAGGCCGUGGCAGCAGAAGCCAACUACAACCCAUGUUCCAAUCUAUGACCUCCCUCUCCUGCUGGUACAAGGAUAUGGACUAGCCUAGAUGAUGAUGGCUCACCAAUUUCCUUGCAAGGGCAAGAGCUGAUAAUCAACUGACUAAUGAGGAUUGACUUCUACAAUUGAUGAGCAUGGAAUUGGAUGUGCCUAAAUCAACAGAAGAGGGAUUUUGAUGUCAUCACACUGUAGCCCCAGAAGACAGAACGCUCAAAGGUGUCAAUGGGCAGAAUUUGUAGAUGACAUACAGCAUCCAAUGGAUUACUCCUAUUCAGUAUUCCUUAGAGCAAAGGAUGCAAUGUCAAGCAAGUUGUGAUACCUCAACUAUCUACAAUUUAACACCAAGGAAAGAACACUGUUUGGAGAAAUGAGAAAGAUUAUCAUCAGUGUCUUUCAGAAGUCAUCAAAGGAAGAAAAGGAGAAAAGAGAGGAGAAAGCAGAAAGGAAGAACCAGCUCAGGGCAGAGUGCGCUGGGGCAGCAAAUGUCAGAGGAUGCAGAAAGAAGUCAAGUGUAUCACUCCUUGGAAUCUAUUGAUCUGGAGUCUGGGAAGUUCAAGAGCAUGGCACCAACAUCUGGCAAGGGCUUUCAUGCUGCAUCAUCUCAUGGAGGAAAAUAAAAGGGCAAGAGGCUGGAUGCUCCUGUGAAGUACGUCUUCUAUCUACUUGCUAUCUUUGCAAUUCCUUCAUGCUACAAUGAGAGAUAGAGUUUAAACCUGAAAACAUUCUUGGAAAAGGAACCUUCAUUAAUUCAAAUAUACCACAAGAUUCACCACCAUCACUACUCUAAGUAUUUUUCUUCUUGAGAAAGAGAAGGAGAGGGAAAGCAAGGAAGAGGAAGAGAAAGAGAAAUGGAUAAAAACAUGGUCAAGUAGAAGAGUCUGUGAUUUCAGGUAAAUCCAGAUUUGGAGCUUGAAUGACUCAAAUGCUUUGCCUACAUUGAUCCUACAUUCAGGCUGCUUACAUAUCUCUUGGCUUCUCUGAGAACCAGAUUGUCACCACUUAAAGUGUCUUCCAGAGUCCUCACGAGUAUCAGAGAAGGCAUAAUCCGUACACGUGGCUUCAUUUAAAAUGAAAAUAUCAAGCAGUGUCAUUUUCACAAGUAUCCCCACACUGUCUGAGGCUGAAAAGAAGAGUGUAGCUAUGCACACUGCAGUUAGAAGAAAAUUUCAGCUCAAUUGGAGGAUGUAAAGAUUGAAAUAUCACUGCUCCUAGUUCUGAUGCAAAAUUGAAAAGAGUGCACUGGGUCUUCAAAUGGCAUAUUGACAAGGAGAAAGAGGAAAGGAUGCCCCAGGACAGCCUGGGGGUCAAGGCUGGGCUCAGGCAUGCCUGGACAAGCCAUGCAAGUUGUCUCUGGACUUGAACCACAUAUCAGAGGAGCUAUUUGAGGAGCCACAUCAGCAUACCUGCUUCUGUGGGCCCCCAGGCUGUGGUGCUCAGCCCUUGCACUAUGAAACACUUUUUUUUCCAGAAGCCAAAGCUUUGAGCAUCUCCUCCCAUAUAGAGAGUGCAUAUGUUUACGUCCAUGUCUUUCGCCAUGUGAACGCAUGCAACCACCACCUCAAAUAUCAUAAAUCCUCUCUCUCCCCCUUUCUGUCUGCCUGUUUAUCUACAAUCUGUCUAUUUAAAUUCUUUUUAAACAAGAAGGGAAUAUCUUUAUGCCUGUUUGUAGGGAUAUUCUACAUCCAUCUGUUAUUUACAUCAUUCGUUUUCCUGAGGUGUCUCCAACAAAUCCUGGCUGGAUGCACUGUAUGUGUUAUUAAUAAAACAGCUGUAAAAAUA
Long non-coding RNA from Pan troglodytes (chimpanzee), 1978 nucleotides. RefSeq lists it as uncharacterized. NCBI's taxonomy places the organism in Eukaryota, Metazoa, Chordata, Mammalia, Primates, Hominidae. The record is from RefSeq and is a predicted model, not a curated record. The transcript has 10 exons.